RNAcentral lists this ribosomal RNA (78 nucleotides) under uncultured bacterium. RNAcentral describes it as "partial 16S ribosomal RNA". It matches the Rfam family "Bacterial small subunit ribosomal RNA", at positions 277 to 354 of the family's 1533-position model. The record is from RNAcentral.
CGAUGUCUAGGGGUUCUGAGAGGAAGGUCCCCCACACUGGUACUGAGACACGGACCAGACUCCUACGGGAGGCAGCAG